This 253-nucleotide ribosomal RNA is filed under the name uncultured bacterium. RNAcentral's name for it is "partial 16S ribosomal RNA". It matches the Rfam family "Bacterial small subunit ribosomal RNA", at positions 524 to 776 of the family's 1533-position model. The record is from RNAcentral.
UACGGGGGGGGCAAGCGUUGUUCGGAAUUACUGGGCGUAAAGGGCGUGAAGGCGGCCAAAUAAGGCGGAUGUGAAAUCCCCAGGCUCAACCUGGGAACUGCAUCCGAUACUGGAUGGCUUGAAUUCGGGAGAGGGAUGCAGAAUUCCAGGUGUAGCGGUGAAAUGCGUAGAUAUCUGGAGGAACACCGGUGGCGAAGGCGGCAUCCUGGACCGGUAUUGACGCUGAGGCGCGAAAGCCAGGGGAGCAAACGGG